CCAAAUCCCAAUCACAAUCGAGGGUCACCAAAGCUGGAGAAGGAAUCUUGUUUAGUCCCGGCAUCGGCAACAACGAGUCACCAUCCACUGGCAUUGAAGCUCUUACGAUCCGUCAAUUGUAGUGAGGUAAGAGAGCCCUCAUCCUCUGAUCUCUCAUCUUAAUAGACUUUGAAGGAGGUAACAGUUGGGUUAAACGGGAAUAAUUCUUCUUCUUUUUCUUUAAUCUUCAUAGCGGACAAGAUUGAUGGUUUGAAAUUGGGAUUUGAGAACCUCAUAAUCGGACUUGUUGUACCACGCACCGUCGCUCACGGCAUUAUCCACCUGUGGCCUUGCCCUUUAAAGCAUUGCACAGUCACCAACGCCUUUCACACCCACAACCAUUCACUCACGCCAAGACCACCAUAGUUAGCCAACAUGGCUGCCAUCUUCAUCCUUUCAUCCUUCAUUUCUUGCUGUUGAAUAAGAAACCAAAUGUAGGGAAACACAAAAAAACAAGAAAAUAAAACACGAAGAACAACUCUUCCUUGAACAGUG
Molecule: long non-coding RNA, 534 nt
Filed under: Vitis vinifera (wine grape)
Lineage: Eukaryota; Viridiplantae; Streptophyta; Magnoliopsida; Vitales; Vitaceae
Description: long non-coding RNA (VVIN_LNC005112)
Source: RNAcentral